AAAGACCUGUAUCUUUUUUAGGGGAUCAUCAGGAAAUGAAAAUUUGUUGUGGCAAUAUAAAUCAAGGCUGCUGUUUCUGGUGAAGGUCAGAAGGUAAGCAACAGAAUCCUGGUUCCUUGGUUUAGGACUGGAAUGUUUAGCUGAUGCAUACAUAGUUGGUGGGACAAAGGAUACAUUUCUGAUCUGAUCCUCAGACACUGUCAGAAACGAACGAAUAAAUAAGAAUUUCAAGCCCAUGGGAAAUCAUGAGGUCGCAGAUUCUAGCUUCUGAAUUAACAAUUAACUUUGGUAUGCCAUGACUUGAAUUCUAAUUUAUUGCAAAACAGAAUAUUGAGAAAAGAUCCACAGUGUGUACAAAUGCAGAGAGCAGAAUUCAAGCCAAUCUGAUUUUGAUUUUUUUUUUUUUUUUGGUUUGAGAUAGGAAAGCAGCUGUUUGUUUAUGGUCAAUUAAAGAUAUUUAUUUUUAUUGAUUUUAGAGAGGAAGAGUGAGGGGUGUAUGUAGGGAUCAAGCUGGUAAC
This is a long non-coding RNA of Pipistrellus kuhlii (Kuhl's pipistrelle), 518 nucleotides long. RefSeq lists it as uncharacterized. The transcript has 3 exons. The record is from RefSeq and is a predicted model, not a curated record. Lineage: Eukaryota; Metazoa; Chordata; Mammalia; Chiroptera; Vespertilionidae.